This 495-nucleotide ribosomal RNA is filed under the name uncultured bacterium. RNAcentral describes it as "partial 16S ribosomal RNA". It matches the Rfam family "Bacterial small subunit ribosomal RNA", at positions 30 to 507 of the family's 1533-position model. The record is from RNAcentral.
UGAACGCUGGCGGCGUGCCUAAUACAUGCAAGUCGAGCGAACGGACGAGAAGCUUGCUUCUCUGAUGUUAGCGGCGGACGGGUGAGUAACACGUGGAUAACCUACCUAUAAGACUGGGAUAACUUCGGGAAACCGGAGCUAAUACCGGAUAAUAUUUUGAACCGCAUGGUUCAAAAGUGAAAGACGGUCUUGCUGUCACUUAUAGAUGGAUCCGCGCUGCAUUAGCUAGUUGGUAAGGUAACGGCUUACCAAGGCAACGAUGCAUAGCCGACCUGAGAGGGUGAUCGGCCACACUGGAACUGAGACACGGUCCAGACUCCUACGGGAGGCAGCAGUAGGGAAUCUUCCGCAAUGGGCGAAAGCCUGACGGAGCAACGCCGCGUGAGUGAUGAAGGUCUUCGGAUCGUAAAACUCUGUUAUUAGGGAAGAACAUAUGUGUAAGUAACUGUGCACAUCUUGACGGUACCUAAUCAGAAAGCCACGGCUAGCUACGUG